Molecule: ribosomal RNA, 301 nt
Filed under: uncultured bacterium
Lineage: Bacteria
Description: partial 16S ribosomal RNA
Rfam family: Bacterial small subunit ribosomal RNA
Source: RNAcentral
CAGUAGCCGCGGGAAUACGGAGGGUGCAAGCGUUAAUCGGAAUUACUGGGCGUAAAGCGCACGCAGGCGGUCUGACAAGUCAGAUGUGAAAUCCCCGGGCUUAACCUGGGAACUGCAUUUGAAACUGUCAGGCUGGAGUCUUGUAGAGGGGGGUGGAAUUCCAGGUGUAGCGGUGAAAUGCGUAGAGAUCUGGAGGAAUACCGGUGGCGAAGGCGGCCCCCUGGACAAAGACUGACGCUCAGGUGCGAAAGCGUGGGGAGCAAACAGGAUUAGAUACCCGUGUAGUCCCUGUCUCUUAUAA